This 433-nucleotide ribosomal RNA is filed under the name uncultured bacterium. RNAcentral's name for it is "partial 16S ribosomal RNA". It matches the Rfam family "Bacterial small subunit ribosomal RNA", at positions 29 to 507 of the family's 1533-position model. The record is from RNAcentral.
AACGAACGCUGGCGGUAUGCCUAACACAUGCAAGUCGAACGAGACCUUCGGGUCUAGUGGCGCACGGGUGCGUAACGCGUGGGAACCUGCCCUUAGGUUCGGAAUAACUCCCCGAAAGGGGUGCUAAUACCGGAUAAUGUCUUCGGACCAAAGAUUUAUCGCCUUUGGAUGGGCCCGCGUUGGAUUAGCUAGUUGGUAGGGUAAAAGCCUACCAAGGCGACGAUCCAUAGCUGGUCUGAGAGGAUGAUCAGCCACACUGGGACUGAGACACGGCCCAGACUCCUACGGGAGGCAGCAGUGGGGAAUAUUGGACAAUGGGCGAAAGCCUGAUCCAGCAAUGCCGCGUGAGUGAUGAAGGCCUUAGGGUUGUAAAGCUCUUUUACCCGGGAUGAUAAUGACAGUACCGGGAGAAUAAGCGCCGGCUAACUCCGUG